This 1436-nucleotide ribosomal RNA is filed under the name uncultured organism. RNAcentral describes it as "16S ribosomal RNA". It matches the Rfam family "Bacterial small subunit ribosomal RNA". The record is from RNAcentral.
UUAACACAUGCAAGUCGAGGGGCAGCAUUUCAGUUUGCUUGCAAACUGGAGAUGGCGACCGGCGCACGGGUGAGUAACACGUAUCCAACCUGCCGAUAACUCGGGGAUAGCCUUUCGAAAGAAAGAUUAAUACCCGAUGGUAUAAUCAGACCGCAUGGUCUUGUUAUUAAAGAAUUUCGGUUAUCGAUGGGGAUGCGUUCCAUUAGGCAGUUGGUGAGGUAACGGCUCACCAAACCUUCGAUGGAUAGGGGUUCUGAGAGGAAGGUCCCCCACAUUGGAACUGAGACACGGUCCAAACUCCUACGGGAGGCAGCAGUGAGGAAUAUUGGUCAAUGGGCGCAGGCCUGAACCAGCCAAGUAGCGUGAAGGAUGACUGCCCUAUGGGUUGUAAACUUCUUUUAUAUGGGAAUAAAGUUUUCCACGUGUGGAAUUUUGUAUGUACCAUAUGAAUAAGGAUCGGCUAACUCCGUGCCAGCAGCCGCGGUAAUACGGAGGAUCCGAGCGUUAUCCGGAUUUAUUGGGUUUAAAGGGAGCGUAGGUGGACAGUUAAGUCAGUUGUGAAAGUUUGCGGCUCAACCGUAAAAUUGCAGUUGAUACUGGCUGUCUUGAGUACAGUAGAGGUGGGCGGAAUUCGUGGUGUAGCGGUGAAAUGCUUAGAUAUCACGAAGAACUCCGAUUGCGAAGGCAGCUCACUGGACUGCAACUGACACUGAUGCUCGAAAGUGUGGGUAUCAAACAGGAUUAGAUACCCUGGUAGUCCACACAGUAAACGAUGAAUACUCGCUGUUUGCGAUAUACAGUAAGCGGCCAAGCGAAAGCAUUAAGUAUUCCACCUGGGGAGUACGCCGGCAACGGUGAAACUCAAAGGAAUUGACGGGGGCCCGCACAAGCGGAGGAACAUGUGGUUUAAUUCGAUGAUACGCGAGGAACCUUACCCGGGCUUAAAUUGCAUUUGAAUAUAUUGGAAACAGUAUAGCCGUAAGGCAAAUGUGAAGGUGCUGCAUGGUUGUCGUCAGCUCGUGCCGUGAGGUGUCGGCUUAAGUGCCAUAACGAGCGCAACCCUUAUCUUUAGUUACUAACAGGUCAUGCUGAGGACUCUAGAGAGACUGCCGUCGUAAGAUGUGAGGAAGGUGGGGAUGACGUCAAAUCAGCACGGCCCUUACGUCCGGGGCUACACACGUGUUACAAUGGGGGGUACAGAAGGCAGCUACCUGGUGACAGGAUGCUAAUCCCAAAAGCCUCUCUCAGUUCGGAUCGAAGUCUGCAACCCGACUUCGUGAAGCUGGAUUCGCUAGUAAUCGCGCAUCAGCCAUGGCGCGGUGAAUACGUUCCCGGGCCUUGUACACACCGCCCGUCAAGCCAUGAAAGCCGGGGGUACCUGAAGUACGUAACCGCAAGGAGCGUCCUAGGGUAAAACUGGUAAUUGGGGCUAAGUC